GUGAGGAAUUUUCCGCAAUGGGCGAAAGCCUGACGGAGCAAUGCCGCGUGAAGGAUGAAGGCCUAUGGGUUGUAAACUUCUUUUCUCAGAAAAGAAUUAUGACGGUAUCUGAGGAAUAAGCAUCGGCUAACUCUGUGCCAGCAGCCGCGGUAAGACAGAGGAUGCAAGCGUUAUCCGGAAUGAUUGGGCGUAAAGCGUCUGUAGGUUGUUUAAAAAGUAUUCUGUCAAAGAUUAGGGCUUAACCCUAGAUAGGCAGAAUAAACUUUUAAGCUAGAGUUUGGUAGAGGCAGAGGGAAUUCCCGGUGGAGCGGUGAAAUGCGUAGAUAUCGGGAGGAACACCAAAGGCGAAGGCACUCUGCUGGGCCAAUACUAACACUGAGAGACGAAAGCGUGGGGAGCAAACAGGAUUAGAAACCCUGGUAGUCC
This 426-nucleotide ribosomal RNA is filed under the name uncultured bacterium. RNAcentral describes it as "partial 16S ribosomal RNA". It matches the Rfam family "Bacterial small subunit ribosomal RNA", at positions 354 to 796 of the family's 1533-position model. The record is from RNAcentral.